GGCGAGCGACGGCUGGCUGUUUAUAAACCCAAUCUCCCUCUCAAAUUCAAAAUUCAUGGCUUUCAAUGGACUCCAGCGAAAUUACAGGGAAUUCGUGGUCACGGGACCGGCCUCCGCCAAUCGCUCGUCUGGGCCUGGUGGAAAACAGAGAGCAUUAUUUGGUUUAAUUGAUUCAAAAACACCAGAGGACCACGACCAGGACACCAUGAGCCCCCAUUCCUACACCAGUGCCUCACAUGCUCUCUCCCCAAUGCCUCCGUUUCUCCAGAAAAGCUAGAGGAACCUUUUCCUCAUCCCCUUCGAAGGAAAAGAUGAGUGAGGAUCUCCGCGUUGGAGGAAGAGGGAGUCGAAAGAGGCUUCCACUCUUUGAAAAAGACCCAAUGGUGGUUGGGCUUCGGGUCACGUGACACCUUCUUUGUGGCUCCGGAAGAGGAUUGUGAAGUUUAGGUUUCGUGGAAGAAACCGAUAAUUGAGGAAAAAAAAAAAUCAAGAUUUGGGGGGAAUUACCUACAAAGAUGUAAGGUGUGUUAAUUUGGGCGCUUCUUGGAUUCUACCCUGAGGAGGAGGCGCGUGGUGAGAGGAGAGCUCCACCAGCUGCGCGCUCGUGUACGCCGUCCGCGCCCGCUUGGACGCCGCCGACCCCGGGGGGCUCUUGUCCCCUCCCCCGCCGCCGCCGCCACCGCCCCCGCUGCCACCACUGCCUCCGCCGCCGCCGCCACCGCCGCCGCCACCACAGCCCUCUGCUGGAUCCGAGGGGGAGGGGUGGGAAGGGGAGAAAAUGAAAUAAAAGAUAAUUACUGAA
This 802-nucleotide long non-coding RNA is filed under the name Homo sapiens (human). RNAcentral's name for it is "HSALNT0390394". Lineage: Eukaryota; Metazoa; Chordata; Mammalia; Primates; Hominidae. The record is from RNAcentral.